This 615-nucleotide ribosomal RNA is filed under the name uncultured Porphyromonas sp. RNAcentral's name for it is "bacterial SSU rRNA". It matches the Rfam family "Bacterial small subunit ribosomal RNA", at positions 135 to 749 of the family's 1533-position model. Lineage: Bacteria; Pseudomonadati; Bacteroidota; Bacteroidia; Bacteroidales; Porphyromonadaceae. The record is from RNAcentral.
ACAGGAGGAUAACCCGUCGAAAGACGGACUAAUACUGCGUACACUCACUGGGAGGCAUCUCUUGGUGAGGAAAGAAAUUCGGUGUAGGAUAGGCAUGCGUCCCAUUAGCUAGUUGGUGAGGUAACGGCUCACCAAGGCGACGAUGGGUAGGGGAACUGAGAGGUUUAUCCCCCACACUGGUACUGAGACACGGACCAGACUCCUACGGGAGGCAGCAGUGAGGAAUAUUGGUCAAUGGGCGCGAGCCUGAACCAGCCAAGUCGCGUGAAGGAUGACUGUCUUAUGGAUUGUAAACUUCUUUUGUAUGGGAAUAACGGGGCGGACGUGUCCGCUUGUGAAUGUACCAUACGAAUAAGCAUCGGCUAACUCCGUGCCAGCAGCCGCGGUAAUACGGAGGAUGCGAGCGUUAUCCGGAUUUAUUGGGUUUAAAGGGUGCGUAGGCGGCUUGUUAAGUCAGCGGUGAAAUCUUGGGGCUUAACCCCGAAACUGCCGUUGAAACUGGCGAGCUUGAGUGUAGAUGAAGUAGGCGGAAUUCGUGGUGUAGCGGUGAAAUGCAUAGAUAUCACGAGGAACUCCGAUUGCGCAAGCAGCUUACUAAGGUACAACUGACGCUGA